Molecule: ribosomal RNA, 253 nt
Filed under: uncultured bacterium
Lineage: Bacteria
Description: partial 16S ribosomal RNA
Rfam family: Bacterial small subunit ribosomal RNA
Source: RNAcentral
UACGAAGGGAGCUAGCGUUGUUCGGAAUCACUGGGCGUAAAGCGCACGUAGGCGGAUGUGUCAGUCAGGGGUGAAAUCCCGGAGCUCAACUUCGGAACUGCCUUUGAUACAGCACAUCUGGAGUCCGGAAGAGGUGGGUGGAAUUCCUAGUGUAGAGGUGAAAUUCGUAGAUAUUAGGAAGAACACCGGUGGCGAAGGCGGCCCACUGGUCCAGUACUGACGCUGAGGUGCGAAAGCGUGGGGAGCAAACAGG